This 218-nucleotide long non-coding RNA is filed under the name Elaeis guineensis (African oil palm). Its description in RNAcentral is "long non-coding RNA (EGUI_LNC078417)". Lineage: Eukaryota; Viridiplantae; Streptophyta; Magnoliopsida; Arecales; Arecaceae. The record is from RNAcentral.
UCUUUAGCCUACUGGGCUUUGUAGUGUAUAUUUUGUGAAUGAAAUGAAAAGGAGAUUUUGUGUUACCUCAUCCGCGUGUUGUAUUAAAUUGUCGUUCGUCGAACUUCUUUUGUCUUUUGACUUGUCUGACGUCGAUGUCGUUUGGAGGUGCCCAAUCAUCGCCAUGCUGAUUUGCUUUUCUGGUCGUCCAUGGCCAUAGGCUCGAGAACGGUGGUCCG